This 855-nucleotide ribosomal RNA is filed under the name Aquimarina sp. RNAcentral describes it as "bacterial SSU rRNA". It matches the Rfam family "Bacterial small subunit ribosomal RNA", at positions 21 to 875 of the family's 1533-position model. Lineage: Bacteria; Pseudomonadati; Bacteroidota; Flavobacteriia; Flavobacteriales; Flavobacteriaceae. The record is from RNAcentral.
UGCUCAGGAUGAACGCUAGCGGCAGGCUUAACACAUGCAAGUCGAGGGGUAACAGGGUUGCUUGCAACCGCUGACGACCGGCGCACGGGUGCGUAACGCGUAUAGAACCUACCUUUUACUGAGGGAUAGCCCAGAGAAAUUUGGAUUAAUACCUCAUGGUAUUGUGAAGUGGCAUCACUUUAUAAUUAAAGAUUUAUUGGUAAGAGAUGGCUAUGCGUUCUAUUAGCUAGUUGGUAUGGUAACGGCAUACCAAGGCUACGAUAGAUAGGGGUCCUGAGAGGGAGAUCCCCCACACUGGUACUGAGACACGGACCAGACUCCUACGGGAGGCAGCAGUGAGGAAUAUUGGACAAUGGAGGCAACUCUGAUCCAGCCAUGCCGCGUGCAGGAAGACUGCCCUAUGGGUUGUAAACUGCUUUUAUAGAGGAAGAAUUGCCAAUACGUGUAUUGGUUUGACGGUACUCUACGAAUAAGGAUCGGCUAACUCCGUGCCAGCAGCCGCGGUAAUACGGAGGAUCCAAGCGUUAUCCGGAAUCAUUGGGUUUAAAGGGUCCGUAGGCGGGUUUAUAAGUCAGUGGUGAAAGUUUGCGGCUCAACCGUAAAAUUGCCAUUGAUACUGUAGAUCUUGAAUUAUUGUGAAGUGGUUAGAAUAAGUAGUGUAGCGGUGAAAUGCAUAGAUAUUACUUAGAAUACCGAUUGCGAAGGCAGAUCACUAACAAUUGAUUGACGCUAAGGGACGAAAGCGUGGGUAGCGAACAGGAUUAGAUACCCUGGUAGUCCACGCCGUAAACGAUGGUUACUAGCUGUUCGGACUUCGGUCUGAGUGGCUAAGCGAAAGUGAUAAGUACCCACCUG